UGGGUGCCUGUGCACAGAAAUUUAGCUUCCUCAGUAUUUACAGAACAUAAAACAGUCCUCCUUGUUUAAGACUAGGAUGAACAUUUCUGUCACAUUAGGAAAGGCAACCUUAUUUUAUUCUGCAGCUGCUAUUUAAAUUCUAUAAGAUCUCUUUUGAUCCUAGGCAAAAUUCAAAAUGAGAUAUUCCAAACAUCUGCUAACUAUUAUGGGUCAUGCCUGCUAGUAGAGGUAAUAAAUUAUAGCCAAGAAGAGAAUCAAAUGUCUUAAUAAUGUUUUUUUGUUCAUUGCUUCAAAGUUUGUCCUCUUUCAGUGUUAUCUGUUCUCUUUUUGAGCAUGGUAGUCAACAUGCCUACAAAGAAGAUUGUGCUGUAGGUGAGGUGGUUGGGAUUGCAAUGGGAUGAGAGUGACACCCUCUAGUUUAAGUUAAGGGAAAAACAACAAACAAGUAGGUUUCUCUAUUUCAGAACAGAGGGAAAUCUAAAUCAAUCACAGAAACUCACUCUCUGUGCUGUGUGCCAAAAACAAGAUGGGUGGGUCUAGCAGAAUAUGGGAGAGAGGGCAUUUCAAUUUCCUCCAAAGGGGAGAUAACAGAUCAGCUUUCUAGUUUGUCAUGGAAACCUUUUGUCAACCCAGUAACAAUGACGUCAAGGUGGCAGUGGCACAGAGACUGGGUUAGUUAAUGUAGCACACACCUGUUGAACUGCCAGAGGGGAAGGUAUGUUGGCUCUUACAUAUUCCAUCCCUGAUUCUAAACAACUUUGGUGAAGGUUUAAAAAGCGUUAUUCAAGUCCCAAGACAGCUUUUGUGAGCUUUAGCAGAUUCUGACCGUGAGCAGGUGGUGCUGGAGCUUUCACUCAGGGAGAAAUCCUGCUAAAAGGAUUGCACUGCUCGAGCAGUGCCGUUCCCUCCUGUUUUGGGUAUCCUUUUAGAUGGUGGGGAGAGCAGACCUGUACUUGAAAAGAACAGCACCAAAUUCCUUCAGUGUGUUUGCUUUUCUUGGGAGUAAAGGCUCUGCUGGUGUUUACCAAAGGAGUUUUUUUAGAAACACUUCUAUAAAAAGAGAAACCCAAAUUUACUAUACCAGAUCUAUAGUGUGGAUGUAUAACAUUCCACUGUAGUGUGUUGUUGGAAUGACUGUUCUCCUGCCUGUUUCUCUGGUGGGUGCUGUGCUUUUCUUUAGUGCUGUUAACUGGCUACUUUUUCUUUUUUAAAGGGAGAUUAGAUCACUUGUUUGCUUCCUUCAGUGUUGCUUGUGUGACUACCUUCCCAUUAUUAGAAACCAGAAAAAUGCACUAACAUUUCCUUAGAAGUGAGCUGACUUCUUUUCAUGAGAAAAGUAUGUGGACAGGGAAAAUAGUCCAUUUUUUCUACACUAUUCAUGUUUACCAGCAAAACCACAGAAGUUGUGUUUGCAGAAGACUUUGAAUCAGUUAAAGUGUUGCACUGUGUCCAGAGUCAAUGCAGGUUCUGUUACUAUGGCUAGAGCAUUAAUUUAAUUAGUUGCAUUUCUUGUCUAUGGUAACACAUGAUAAUUCUCUUAAAGUGUGUCCUUGUUAUUGCUAACCAGUAUGCAGAUACAGAAUAUUUCCUAUCAUAUAGCUUGAAAGAGAAGUAGACCUAUUAUAGGGAUGAUGAGUCAAAUUAUAUCGGGUUGCAAAGCAGAAUUAAGGCUGAGAAAAAGAAUGGCAUAAAAUGACAUAAAGUGACCAGAAAAGGAAAAUGGAGCCAAUCAGUGUAAAUGACAUUUAUUGUUCAGUUAGAAUCCAACUGUAUGUAGUGGUGCCAGCAAAUUGCAGAAAUUUUUGCAAAGGGACUGUCUGGGAUUAUAAUUGUUCAAAUAGCCAAAGUUGAUGACCCAUGGUAUUCUAAUAGAGAUGGAUGAUGUCCGAUGGCUGCCAAGUUUCAAGGAGGUAAAAAAAACUAAAAUUGAGCAAUAAUUUCAUCUUCUGUAGAAGAUGAAAUUGUCCUUCAUAUGAAACAAAUAAGGUUUAGUUGCAUUAGCAGUGUUGCCAUUGUGGUAUGUGUAAAUUCUCUGGAGAUAUCUGUGAAGAACAAUGAUUUUCUUUGGCUUCAGUUUGGAAAAUGUUGUACACUCAUCUGUAUUUUUUCUUUACACCCAUUACUGGUGAUUUCAGCCUGACAGAAAGGUAUUUCAUGUGAUCUAAAAUCUCUGUUGUAUCAUUCAAUUUUAUUUGUGACUUUCUCACUGGAAGGCUAGAAAAAGGUGCUGUAGACAUUUUGAAAUAGGACUCUUCCUGAGUUUGCCCUGCCAGGGAAGGGGGCCAGUCUCAAAGACUGGCAAAUCUUCUGCUGCCACCUCUGAGCCAACAGCAAGUGUCCCCUCUGCCCCUGCCCUCUCUGGGGAGCAGCAGGAGUGGGGCAGUGGGAAAGGCUGUCCUUGGGGAGCCCAGGACCUUCUCAGGAGGAGAUGGCCUGCUGCUGCUGCAGAACCUUCUGCCUGUGUGCCAAGAGUGCACCUGCCUCUCAAUACUGUGUCCCCUGAGUUUUCUCUCUGUUUUCUGCAGGGCCUUUUCAGACUCUUUUUCAGACUCUCUUUGUUUUUUUUCUCACAUGCUUCAGUGGUGCAUAUUACUGACAAAAGUACCUUUGAUACAGGAGAGAGGCAGAUUCAUUUAUCUGCACCUUGGAUCAAUCCAGACAUUAGUUACGGUACAAUACGGAGCAGUGUGACAAAGGGUCCCUUUUUUGCUGGAGGGACAGAAAGGGGGCCCAGAAAGAAGAGAAGGAAACAGUGAGGGCUGUGCUAAGCUAAGUACCCACCCUUUAUAGGGCCACUACUUACUAAGGCCUCGUGAACCCUGAGAAGGAAAGAUGAUUUACAUUGUGUUUUCAUUGUUUACUUGUGGAAAUUCAGCAUUGAAAGAACCACCACCUCAUAACCAUAUUGUUAGAUGUGGUGAUGCAAGAAUAAAUUCCUAUUUCAUGCAGUAAAGGCUAAUUCAUUCUCUUCUACUUCAAGCAUGUUUUCCCUUCACUUAGGACUCAGUCUGGCAAACAGAGCAUUUCAGCAGUUUCUUCUUUAGAUUGGGUGGGGGUUAAUGAGGUUUGAACACAUAGCUCUGCUACUGUAUUGCCUGGGAUAGAGGAAAUUGCUUACUUAUUAUUUAUCAUUCUUAUUUUAGGAAAGGAAGCAGAUGUUUAUGCCAAAAAUCUCCCAGCAUUGAUGAAGUAAUACUGAAUUCAUAAAACAGAAUUUGUUAAGGGAGCGUAAUUCUUGACUCAAAAAGGAAAUAUUCAGCCAAGCCCUAGGUACCCGUGUUGCUGUCUGCCCUCCAUCGCUGCAGUCCAGUGCUCCCACAGCCCUUUUCCUUUCCAGUGCCUCUCUCCCUCCCUGCAUGGGCUCCUGUUCUCCGUCUCACCUGAACCUAGGAUGCCACAAAAUCCCUUGCUAUUCCAGCUGAAAUAAAGUAACUCAGAGCCACUGUCAAA
Cyanistes caeruleus (blue tit) is the source of this 3450-nucleotide non-coding RNA. NCBI's taxonomy places the organism in Eukaryota, Metazoa, Chordata, Aves, Passeriformes, Paridae. The record is from RefSeq and is a predicted model, not a curated record.